This 490-nucleotide ribosomal RNA is filed under the name uncultured bacterium. Its description in RNAcentral is "partial 16S ribosomal RNA". It matches the Rfam family "Bacterial small subunit ribosomal RNA", at positions 30 to 507 of the family's 1533-position model. The record is from RNAcentral.
AUUGAACGCUGGCGGCAGGCCUAACACAUGCAAGUCGAACGGUAACAGGAAGAAGCUUGCUUCUUUGCUGACGAGUGGCGGACGGGUGAGUAAUGUCUGGGAAACUGCCUGAUGGAGGGGGAUAACUACUGGAAACGGUAGCUAAUACCGCAUAACGUCGCAAGACCAAAGGGGGGGACCUUCGGGCCUCUUGCCAUCGGAUGUGCCCAGAUGGGAUUAGCUAGUAGGUGGGGUAACGGCUCACCUAGGCGACGAUCCCUAGCUGGUCUGAGAGGAUGACCAGCCACACUGGAACUGAGACACGGUCCAGACUCCUACGGGAGGCAGCAGUGGGGAAUAUUGCACAAUGGGCGCAAGCCUGAUGCAGCCAUGCCGCGUGUAUGAAGAAGGCCUUCGGGUUGUAAAGUACUUUCAGCGGGGAGGAAGGGAGUAAAGUUAAUACCUUGGCUCAUUGACGUUACCCGCAGAAGAAGCACCGGCUAACUCCGUG